GCCGUUAUACUCCAAAACGCAGUAUUUUACGGCGUUUAUAUGUCAGUUGAAACGCAGCGAAAAGCACCGCUUUAAGUACUCCAAAACGCCGUUUUGGCAUGCUUACAACAGCGUUUAAAACGCCGUUUUAUAGUAUGAUAAUGAGCUCCACCUAAUAGGUUUGACAGCCAAGACUUGAACUUUCUUCACCCACUCACUCACGAACAAGGUCAGACCAGAACAAUUCACUACAGAUCUUAAUCGGCUGAAGAACCAUUGCUCAGCUGGAAGAUGGCGAGGAGGAACUUCAUUUUACUUGGUCGACGGACACUUAAUGACUGCACUCGACUACUAUUAACAGACAAUCCUGGACCUGAUGUACUUAAUUCCACAUUAAGGAGGAAAGUCAGGAAGACAGUAAUUUCGAUGGAACUUUCUGCAUGUAAAGUGAUCACUUCCUUAUGCCAUUGACUCCCCUCCUUCACUGUACUCCAGUCUCUGUGCAGGUCCAUGUACACCUUACUACUGUGCAAACUAGGAAACUUGGUCAGUGCAACCACUGUAUACUAUGCUUGUGUCCUCACAUACAGGUGUAGGUCAUGCAUACACAUGCAUACAGAAAAUCAAACAAUUUUCAGGUUGAUUAGUUAUAAAUAAAAAUACACACUCCAACAUACAUAGAAAACAUUAUACUCCAUCUAAACCCCAGCCCACAGGCACCCACAUACUUUCGUUGUCUGCUUGGUGAUAUUUUAUUAAAUGUUUUUUUUUUUUACAUUAAUUUUUCUCCACUCAACCUUUCACACAGGAAUUUUUGUGGCAAUGAUAAUCCAUAGGUACUAACAUUUUCUUUUUUUUUUUAAAUUUUACUUAAAUAGCCAAGGCAUUUUUGCACCAAUAAGUAAACAAACAAUUCUAUGAAUAACUAACAGUAUGAAUUGUUGUAGAGGUAGAGUCCCGACAGUAUUUCCUCAGUACUUCAGGCAAGACAGACAGGAACACAGAACAACGGUCAGGCAGACACAUGCCACCUAGUUGCCUGAAAAGGUGUUUUAAUAAUUUUUUUUUAAAAGCAGCAAAAUAACAGGAAAAGCAGUAAUAAAUGAUCAAAAACAAUCUGUGCAAUUGUGAGAGCUCACAGAUCU
Molecule: long non-coding RNA, 1124 nt
Organism: Electrophorus electricus (electric eel)
Lineage: Eukaryota; Metazoa; Chordata; Actinopteri; Gymnotiformes; Gymnotidae
Source: RefSeq, a predicted model, not a curated record